ACGUCUGACCAAUAGUGAACUAUUGUUUAUGAUGCGUUUGAUUGUCCCAUGAUGACAGAUUCUAACACACAUAUUUAAUGAGCUGAUUGUCUUCAUUCCCACAGUUUCCAGCUGAUCCUGGUGAGAUGAAGGAACUGAGGUCAACCAGAGAAGGAAGUGACGACGACUACAAACACACACUCACCUCUCACUUCCUCCCACCUCUGAGCGAUGCUCACACACACAUGGAUCAUGUCCGAUUGUUCCGCUGUGAUUCCAUUGAGUCCAUCUCUGCUGAGGAAAGCUCCAGGAAUCCUCCGUCUGUUUUUCACCCGCCCACAAACGCCAGCACGGCUCAGCAGGAGAAAAGUGGGAGGAGCCGCAGCCUCUACUGCUCGUCACCGCAGCGUGUCACAUGCAGCAGCAUCAGCAGCAGGAUGAGAUCCAAUGUUCAGCCUCCUGCUCUGAUGUCCAGAUCCACUCAGACCUCAGCAGCAGUGGAGAGGAGCAGCCGGACGCCACAGCACCGUGAGAACCUUCUUUAUUCAACCAGUUCAGAGUUCUCAGUGAGAGAAACGUCUCUGAUUUAUAUCAACUAAACAGCUUCCUCACAUUCACAUCAGGGAAAGGAAACCAGGAGAGACACUGGUUAUGAUGAACAUGGCAAAAAUCAUCAUGAAAUCUGGUGAAAAGAGGUUAAAAGUGACAAUAAUGGGUCAACAUAUAAACAUUA
This 712-nucleotide long non-coding RNA is filed under the name Gouania willdenowi (blunt-snouted clingfish). Its description in RNAcentral is "lncRNA (ENSGWIG00000006866.1)". The record is from RNAcentral. Lineage: Eukaryota; Metazoa; Chordata; Actinopteri; Blenniiformes; Gobiesocidae.